GACCCUUUUAACUGAAAAAGUUAAUCAUUUAACAACAUAUAGUGACUCUUUUAACAGCAUAAAGUCACCCUUUUAACAUCAUAAAGUGAACAUUGUCAAAACAUAUAAAUGACACACAUGUCUAUUACUCAAACACAAUGAGCAAUGCAUAUAUGCAUGUUAAUCAAACACAGAUGCACAAACACAAUGCGAAUAUGCCUAUUAUACACAUAAUCUAACUAAAACGUAAAACCUAAACAAAUAAUCAGUUUAAUUAGCAUUCUCUGACUAAAACCUAACAUACAAAAUUUGAAGAAUAAUAAGCAAAAUUUUGAAUCAAUUAUAUACAAUGAACAAUAAAAUAAAGCAAAAUUAAACAUAAUAACUUCAUAAUUCAAAUUCAAUUAUCAUAAUAUGCAUAAAAAAUCAACUGAAAACUAUAAAAAAUAACAUGCACUAGUAAUUCGACAUAUAUAAGCGAAAUUUCAAUUGAAAAAUUUGAAAAAAUGAUGAAAAAUUUAAGUAAACACACCUUCUUCAGCAUCUACAACCUUCUUUGUAAUCUUCUUCUUCACCAUUGCAGAAUCAACACUACGAAAAUCGAAAACAAAAUCAAAAUCAAAAAACCUAAAAAUCGAAGAAUCAAAACAGUUUAAACUAACAAAAAUCUCAAAAAAAUAAGUAAAUGAACCUGAAUUAAGCAAAUAACAACUUCACCAGUGAAAAAGAAGAAAGAAAAAGCUCGAAAAUCAACAAUGGAGGACAGAGAAAACGCUCGAAAUCGCCAGUUACUUGCUUUUUAGAGAGAGAAAAACGAAGAGAGAGAAAGCUAUAGUGAAUGAAUGAAGAGAGAAAAGUUCUAUUUCUUUCUUUAUUUUGGCAAUCAUUAAGAAGCACGUACCAAACCCACUAAAUUAGCAGUUGAUGCUUGUCCAAAAAUUCCGCCAUUCAUUAAAUUAAUGAACACCGGUUUUUUUUAAAAAAUUGUGAAACUACUAUCUUCUUUUUUCCUUCAUUAGAUCUGAGUUCUUAACAUAGAUUCACGGAGUCAUGGCCUAGAGUUUGAAUUCAGAUCCUCUUUCUUCUUGCGUUUAAUCUAACACAGUAAUUUAUAUAUCAUGGCGAAAAUUAUUGUCUUUAUAUCAAAUCUGAUGGUUUGCAUUGAAAUUCGAUUAGCGAUAGCCAUUGCUCUUGUUCUCCUCACAGAGUUAUUGGUUGGACGAAAGCAGAGUUUGGACCUCGAACAGAAGAAAAAGAAGGGGUUUUUUAAACCAAAGAUCACCUUCUCAUUAUAUUCCAUGAAAAUGGUUGGCAGUAGAAUCGCCGAGUCUCUAACAGCAAGGGCGAAUAUUACUGAAUAAAUGUAUUUUUUUUAUUUGCAGUUUAUAAAAUUGAUAUGAUUUUUUUUUUUUCUUUUUUGUUGCUUUGAUGUGAUUUGUUAUGGGUGAUUUCUCAACUUAUAAGGCUAUAAGCUGAGAUGAAUUCAUUUUUCUAGGUAAGAAGAGUUCUUGAUGUUAUUUGUUUUUUUCAAUUACAUUUCAAAUAUAGAGUUAGUUUCUAAAAUACUCAGCUUCAUAAUUUUAAUUUUAUUGAUUUGCAUUAAUUUUGUUCAAAUAUUUCUUUUGUUUUAACCGAAUCAACAGUUCAUAUAGCAGUUACCUCUGUUGUUGUGGUGCCUAGUUCACAAAACAUGCCUUUUGUGCAUAAUAAUUGAAUAAGUGGCCUCAGUUCUUUACCACUAGUUUGUAAGUUUAAUUUGUUCGGUAGAAAUGUUCUCAUGAAAGACCAAUUUGCAACUACAUACUAACAACCAAUUAAUAAGCUCAGAGAGAUUAUCUUUGCAGACAUACACACCAUAAUUAAAUAAGGCUCCCUUUUUUCAGUCCGUUGAUGUUGUGUAUGUGUCUAUGAUAUGUGUGCAGCAUGACGCUGUCAUUCUCAAGUGUAUAUAUAUUGCAUAUCAUGAUUUGUUGACAACGAUUGGUUAUGACUUAAGAAUCAGGAGGGGGGAAUAAUUAAGAUCUUGCUUUUCUAAAUAAUCUAUUUCCUCAAAAGUUAUCGAUGCUUGACAUUAAUGAACUUUUAUGUCUGUUUUUUCAAAUAAUCUUUUGCUGCUAGGUGGAUACAGAUCAAGUAACAAUGCUUGACAAGGUUCUCAAUCUGAAGGAUAUUCGUCAAAAACAACUAUUUUUGUUGGAGGGCUUGAUCCUAGUGUCACAAACGAGGAUCUUAGGCAACCUUUCUCCCAAUAUGGGGAGACAUUUUAUGUUAAAAUUCAUGUUGGGAAAGGAUGCGGAUUUGUGCAAUUUGCAAACAGAGGUCAUGCUUAAGAGGCUUUGAAUAAGCUGAACGGGUCAGUUAUAGGAAAGUAAAUUGUCCGUCUUUCAUGGGGCCGCAACCCUACAAACAAACAGUCAAGAGGUGAUUAUGGAAAUCUGUGGAAUGGAGGCUACUACAGAGGACACAUAUAUGAUGGUGGUUACAGAUACGUACUACACCCAAGCAUGUAUGCAGCAGUGGCAACAGCUUACGGAGCCUACCUUGUGUACGGCAAUCAGCAACACGUAAGCUGAUGACCAAGACACGAAAAUAAGAAGUAGCGCGCAUGAGGAUAAGCCUCAAGAUUAUCGAUAAGCGAUUCGUAUCGCACUACCUAGGCAUAUUGUUUCAUUCUUUGUAGUGUGAGCUUGUUGUGUAGAAAUAUUUAUGAACCCCUCCCCCUCCUAAUGUGGAAUGGAACUGAAUUUUGAUAAUUCCCAAGGUAGUUUUUCAUACUAAGUUGCUUUUUUUUUUUUUUUUUCCUAUUAUUCAUAUUAGACAUUCAUUGAGGACAAGUUAAGAAUGAUAUGGGGAACUUUCUCCUUAGAAUAUAUGAUGCUUGCAUAUCAUUAUAUGUUUGUUGGCUACUAUACUACUGGUCUAUUGCAAUUUACAGCUGUUUGAUGUUGUUGCAGCUGUAGAUUUGUAUGAGGUUUUUUUAACUUGGUGUCAAAGAUUAAAAAUUGUUCAGCGCAACCCUGAUGGAUCGUUUGAUGCUGAAUUAGAGAUUGGUUUUAAAUUUCUGGUUGAGAGUUACAUUUCACAUGUGGUUUAAGACAAGCCAAAGUUUAUUAAGAUUGGAAAAGGCAAUGAAGGUGCAACAAGAGAAUAGGCCGGGACACUUGAGCAUCAAAACAAACGACUAUAUCGUCUAUUAGGCCAUCAUCUAUGUAUUUUGGUUUUUAGUCUUAUAUUAGUGAUGUAUUUAUUUAGGGACAAGCUACUAUAUAUAAUAUGCGACAUUUUUUUUUUA
Chenopodium quinoa (quinoa) is the source of this 3271-nucleotide long non-coding RNA. RefSeq lists it as uncharacterized. The transcript is spliced from 6 exons. The record is from RefSeq and is a predicted model, not a curated record. NCBI's taxonomy places the organism in Eukaryota, Viridiplantae, Streptophyta, Magnoliopsida, Caryophyllales, Amaranthaceae.